UGCAGUCGAGCGGGCCUAGCAAUAGGUCAGCGGCAGACGGGUGAGUAACGCGUAGGAAUCUACCUCAAAGUGGGGAAUAGCCUUCCGAAAGGAAGGGUAAUACCGCAUGUGAUCGCAAGAUCAAAGCCGUAAGGCGCUUUGAGAGGAGCCUGCGUCCUAUCAGUUAGUUGGUGGGGUAAUGGCCUACCAAGACUAUGACGGGUAGCCGAUGUGAGAGCAUGAUCGGCCACAAGGUUACUGAGACACGGAACCUACACCUACGGGUGGCAGCAACUGGGAAUCUUGCGCAAUGGACGAAAGUCUGACGCAGCGACACCGCGUGCGGGAUGAAGCCCUUAGGGGUGUAAACCGCUGUGGCGAGGGAUGAAAUUUUGACCGUACCUCGCUAGAAAGCACCUGCUAACCACGUGCCAGAAGCCUCGGUAAUACGUGGGGUGCGAGCGUUAUCCGGAUUUACUGGGCGUAAAGCGUGCCGUCGGCGACCUGAUAAGUUGCUUGUCCAAGCCUGGGGCUUAACUCCAGAAAGGCAGGCAAAACUAUCAGGAUUGAGUCUGUUCGGGGGAUUUGGAAUUCUCGGUGGAGGGGUGAAAUCCGUAGAUAUCGAGAGGAACGCCAAGCGCGAAGGCAGAAUCCUAGGACACGACUGACGCUCAUGGACGAAAGCUAGGGGAGCAAAAGGGAUUAGAGACCCCUGUAGUCCUAGCCGUAAACACUGAAUACUAGUUGUUC
Molecule: ribosomal RNA, 729 nt
Filed under: uncultured bacterium
Lineage: Bacteria
Description: bacterial SSU rRNA
Rfam family: Bacterial small subunit ribosomal RNA
Source: RNAcentral